Molecule: long non-coding RNA, 240 nt
Organism: Mustela erminea (ermine)
Lineage: Eukaryota; Metazoa; Chordata; Mammalia; Carnivora; Mustelidae
Exons: 3
Source: RefSeq, a predicted model, not a curated record
UCAGGCAUAGUGAGCCUAUCUAGCCCAGCACAGGACAAGGAUGGGAAAAGAGGAGAGAAGAGAAGCUUCUUAAUGCUGCAGAAAUCCCGCAAUAAGAAGAAAUCAAGGGAAAGAGAAGUAGCUCUAAAGAAUUUUGCUCCCUUCACAAUCACCUUAAGGAGCAAAGCAAUGGCCAACCAGAAUAGGGUUAUGUGUGAGACAAAUGUAAACUCUACCAAAGGCUAUCUAAAAGUAUGUGCC